Molecule: unclassified non-coding RNA, 343 nt
Filed under: soil metagenome
Description: partial contains 5.8S ribosomal RNA, internal transcribed spacer 2, and large subunit ribosomal RNA
Rfam family: 5.8S ribosomal RNA (bases 1-120)
Source: RNAcentral
GAUGAAGAACGCAGCGAAAUGCGAUAAGUAAUGUGAAUUGCAGAAUCCAGUGAAUCAUCGAAUCUUUGAACGCACAUUGCGCCCGCCAGCAUUCUGGCGGGCAUGCCUGUUCGAGCGUCAUUUCAACCCUCGACCUCCCUUUGGGGAAGUCGGCGUUGGGGACCGGCAGCACACCGCCGGCCCUGAAAUGGAGUGGCGGCCCGUCCGCGGCGACCUCUGCGUAGUAAUCCAACUCGCACCGGAACCCCGACGCGGCCACGCCGUAAAACACCCAAUUUCUGAACGUUGACCUCGAAUCAGGUAGGACUACCCGCUGAACUUAAGCAUAUCAAUAAGCGGAGGA